Molecule: ribosomal RNA, 393 nt
Filed under: uncultured bacterium
Lineage: Bacteria
Description: bacterial SSU rRNA
Rfam family: Bacterial small subunit ribosomal RNA
Source: RNAcentral
AACGGGUGAGGAACACGUGAGAAAUCUGCCUUCAACUCUGGGAUAACUCCGGGAAACCGGGGCUAAUACCGGAUAUGAGCCUUGAUCGCAUGAUUGGGGCUGGAAAGUUUUUCGGUUGAAGAUGACUUCGCGGCCUAUCAGCUUGUUGGUGAGGGUAAUGGGCUCACCAAGGCGACACGGGUAGCCGGCCUGANAGGGCGACCGGCCACACUGGGACUGAGACACGGCCCAGACUCCUACGGGAGGCAGCAGUGGGGAAUAUUGGGCAAUGGAGGAAACUCUGACCCAGCGACGCCGCGUGAGGGGAUGAAGGCCUUCGGGUUGUAAACCUCUUUCAGUAGGGAAGAAGCGAAAGUGACGGUACCUACAGAAGAAGCACCGGCUAACUAUGUG